UCAAACCUGUCAGUCUUGAGUGGUGUAGAGGUAGGCGGAAUUCCCGGUGUAGCGGUGGAAUGCGUAGAUAUCGGGAGAACACCAGUGGCGAAGGCGGCUUACUGGGCACUAACUGACGCUGAGGCUCGAAAGCAUGGGUAGCAAACAGGAUUAGAUACCCUGGUAGUCCAUGCCGUAAACGAUGAUUACUAGGUGUGGGAGGAUUGACCCCUUCCGUGCCGCAGUUAACACAAUAAGUAAUCCACCUGGGGAGUACGACCGCAAGGUUGAAACUCAAAGGAAUUGACGGGGGCCCGCACAAGCAGUGGAGUAUGUGGUUUAAUUCGAAGCAACGCGAAAAACCUUACCAGGUCUUGACAUCCCGUGCAUAGCCUAGAGAUAGGUGAAAUCCUUCGGGACACGGAGACAGGUGGUGCAUGGUUGUCGUCAGCUCGUGUCGUGAGAUGUUGGGUUAAGUCCCGCAACGAGCGCAACCCUUAUCUUUAGUUACUACGCAAGAGGACUCUAGAGAGACUGCCGUUGACAAAACGGAGGAAGGUGGGGAUGACGUCAAAUCAUCAUGCCCUUUAUGACCUGGGCCACACACGUACUACAAUGGCAAUUAACAAAGAGAAGCGAAACCGCGAGGUGGAGCGAACCUCAUAAAAAUUGUCUCAGUUCGGAUCGCAGGCUGCAACCCGCCUGCGUGAAGCCGGAAUUGCUAGUAAUCGCGGAUCAGCAUGCCGCGGUGAAUACGUUCCCGGGCCUUGUACACACCGCCCGUCACACCAUGAGAGCCGGGGGGACCCAAAGUCGGUAGUCUAACCGCAAGGAGGACGCCGCCGAAGGUAAAACUGGUGAUUGGGGUGAAGUCGUAACAAAGGUAGCCGUAAGCC
This 875-nucleotide ribosomal RNA is filed under the name uncultured bacterium. Its description in RNAcentral is "bacterial SSU rRNA". It matches the Rfam family "Bacterial small subunit ribosomal RNA", at positions 627 to 1508 of the family's 1533-position model. The record is from RNAcentral.